This 173-nucleotide ribosomal RNA is filed under the name Humidesulfovibrio sp. RNAcentral describes it as "partial 23S ribosomal RNA". It matches the Rfam family "Bacterial large subunit ribosomal RNA", at positions 2755 to 2925 of the family's 2925-position model. Lineage: Bacteria; Pseudomonadati; Thermodesulfobacteriota; Desulfovibrionia; Desulfovibrionales; Desulfovibrionaceae. The record is from RNAcentral.
UCGGAAGGAAUAACCGCUGAAAGCAUCUAAGCGGGAAAUCUGCCUCAAGAUGAGUUCUCCCUCAGCUUCGGCUGCUAAAGACUCCCGGUAGACCACCGGGUUGAUAGGCCGGAAGUGUAAGCGUGGCGACAUGCUCAGCUAACCGGUACUAAUAAGUCGUGCGGCUUUUAGCU